Molecule: long non-coding RNA, 726 nt
Organism: Tarenaya hassleriana
Lineage: Eukaryota; Viridiplantae; Streptophyta; Magnoliopsida; Brassicales; Cleomaceae
Exons: 2
Source: RefSeq, a predicted model, not a curated record
UAUAUAUAUAUAUAUAUAUAUAUAUAUAUGUGUGUGAAAUAAAGCUUUGGCAUAACCGAGUCAAUUAAUUAAUGGCUAAUGCCUUAAAGCACAUGUCCUCGCUGGAUUUCAAAGGUUGCCACUUGCCAGUGGGCUUGACUUGUUUUCUUUUGAGUAAACGUUGCUUUGCUUUAAUUUUACGUUUUUUAUUCUUAUUUUUUACAUUUUUUUUUGGGGGGAUUAGAUGAUUUUGCUUCACUUUCUUUAUAUGUACCAUGAACGAUAUGGCCUACCAAUGUAACAAAAAAGAAUACCAAUGGGGACAACGAAGACAUCAAACGUUGCUCUUCCCUUAACUACUUUACUUCUUCUGCUCAUUUGUGUUUUCUCUCAUGUCGGAGCCGUCGAGGCAACAAGUCGAAGACUAGGAACCAUAGAGACUGGACCCUCCAUAUCACGGCCCGGUGGAGGAAGAAACCACGACGCAGAAAAGAUGGCUACGGAAGCCACGAGCUACAAAAAUGGAGUUCCUUGAUUAUAAUUCCAUUGGAAGAAUCGCAGGUGUUACAUCUGUUUGAACAAAUAAGCAAUGGAAGUGUCUGAUGUCUAAUUAAGAACCAAUGAUCUACUGCUUGUCAUUGUUGUUGUUGUUGUUGUUGUUGUUGCUGGUUGUAGUUCUAUUCCUGCCAUGGACUGCUGCUUGUGUUACUCCUUUCUUUAUAUACAAGCAUUUAAUACAAGUGCACA